Molecule: microRNA, 22 nt
Filed under: Lingula anatina
Lineage: Eukaryota; Metazoa; Brachiopoda; Lingulata; Lingulida; Lingulidae
Description: Lan-Mir-31-P6_3p* (star (passenger))
Source: RNAcentral
AGCUGUGCUGCGGAUUGCCACC